This 790-nucleotide ribosomal RNA is filed under the name Piromyces sp. 10 GFM-3. Its description in RNAcentral is "LSU rRNA". It matches the Rfam family "Eukaryotic large subunit ribosomal RNA", at positions 36 to 664 of the family's 3401-position model. Lineage: Eukaryota; Fungi; Neocallimastigomycota; Neocallimastigomycetes; Neocallimastigales; Neocallimastigaceae. The record is from RNAcentral.
UGUCAUAUCACAUAAGCGUUGGAAAAGAAACUAACAAGGAUUCCCUUAGUAACGGCGAGUGAAGCGGGAAGAGCUCAAAUUUGAAAUCUUCAAGGUUUUACCUUGACGAAUUGUAGUUUAAAGAAGUGUUUUCUGUUGAAGUUUUGGUAAAAGUUCUUUGGAAUAGGACAUCAUAGAGGGUGAGAAUCCCGUAUUUGACCAUUAUUUUCAGCUGUGUGAUACACUUUCAAAGAGUCGGAUUGUUUGGGAAUGCAGUCCAAAAUGGGUGGUAAAUUUCAUCUAAAGCUAAAUAUUGGCGAGAGACCGAUAGCGAACAAGUACCGUGAGGGAAAGAUGAAAAGAACUUUGAAAAGAGAGUUAAACAGUACGUGAAAUUGUCAAAAGGGAAGCGUUUGACACCAGUGUUGUUUUCUCGAAAAUCAAUUAAAAAGAGUUGGAUUUUGUGUUGUAUUGACCUUAACAGCUUGCUUCACUCUUUUCCUGCUUUUUUUAAUGCACUUUUCGUUUAACAAGUCAACAUCAGUUUCUUUUGUUGUAAAAGGGUCAUUGGAAGGUGGCUUUCUCUUCGGAGAAAGUGUUUAUAGCCUUUGAUCUCUGCAAUCGGAGAGACUGAGGUCUGCAGCGUAGAUCCUUCGGGGUUAGAUACAUUUGUGCUAAGCUACAGCUUUUCAUAGACAACUUGUUGACUAUGUUUAGUCUUGUGACUUACCCGCUUAUGCUAUUUUACCUACGCUUAGGAUGUUGACAAAAUGGUUUUAAACGACCCGUCUUAAAACAACNGAAACAAAAA